GAGGCGAACCGGGGGAACUGAAACAUCUAAGUACCCCGAGGAAAAGAAAUCAACCGAGAUUCCCCCAGUAGCGGCGAGCGAACGGGGAGCAGCCCAGAGCCUGAAUCAGUGUGUGUGUUAGUGGAAGCGUCUGGAAAGGCGCGCGAUACAGGGUGACAGCCCCGUACACAAAAAUGCACAUGCUGUGAGCUCGAUGAGUAGGGCGGGACACGUGGUAUCCUGUCUGAAUAUGGGGGGACCAUCCUCCAAGGCUAAAUACUCCUGACUGACCGAUAGUGAACCAGUACCGUGAGGGAAAGGCGAAAAGAACCCCGGCGAGGGGAGUGAAAAAGAACCUGAAACCGUGUACGUACAAGCAGUGGGAGCCUCUUUAUGGGGUGACUGCGUACCUUUUGUAUAAUGGGUCAGCGACUUAUAUUCUGUAGCAAGGUUAACCGAAUAGGGGAGCCGAAGGGAAACCGAGUCUUAACUGGGCGUUAAGUUGCAGGGUAUAGACCCGAAACCCGGUGAUCUAGCCAUGGGCAGGUUGAAGGUUGGGUAACACUAACUGGAGGACCGAACCGACUAAUGUUGAAAAAUUAGCGGAUGACUUGUGGCUGGGGGUGAAAGGCCAAUCAAACCGGGAGAUAGCUGGUUCUCCCCGAAAGCUAUUUAGGUAGCGCCUCGUGAAUUCAUCUCCGGGGGUAGAGCACUGUUUCGGCAAGGGGGUCAUCCCGACUUACCAACCCGAUGCAAACUGCGAAUACCGGAGAAUGUUAUCACGGGAGACACACGGCGGGUGCUAACGUCCGUCGUGAAGAGGGAAACAACCCAGACCGCCAGCUAAGGUCCCAAAGUCAUGGUUAAGUGGGAAACGAUGUGGGAAGGCCCAGACAGCCAGGAUGUUGGCUUAGAAGCAGCCAUCAUUUAAAGAAAGCGUAAUAGCUCACUGGUCGAGUCGGCCUGCGCGGAAGAUGUAACGGGGCUAAAACUAUGUGCCGAAGCUGCGGAUGUAUACUUUGUAUACGUGGUAGGGGAGCGUUCUGUAAGCCUGCGAAGGUGUGCUGUGAGGCAUGCUGGAGGUAUCAGAAGUGCGAAUGCUGACAUAAGUAACGAUAAAGCGGGUGAAAAGCCCGCUCGCCGGAAGACCAAGGGUUCCUGUCCAACGUUAAUCGGGGCAGGGUGAGUCGACCCCUAAGGCGAGGCCGAAAGGCGUAGUCGAUGGGAAACAGGUUAAUAUUCCUGUACUUGGUGUUACUGCGAAGGGGGGACGGAGAAGGCUAUGUUAGCCGGGCGACGGUUGUCCCGGUUUAAGCAUGUAGGCUGGUUGUCCAGGCAAAUCCGGAUAAUCAAGGCUGAGGUGUGAUGACGAGGCACUACGGUGCUGAAGUAACAAAUGCCCUGCUUCCAGGAAAAGCCUCUAAGCAUCAGGUAACAUCAAAUCGUACCCCAAACCGACACAGGUGGUCAGGUAGAGAAUACCAAGGCGCUUGAGAGAACUCGGGUGAAGGAACUAGGCAAAAUGGUGCCGUAACUUCGGGAGAAGGCAC
Molecule: ribosomal RNA, 1529 nt
Filed under: Bilifractor porci
Lineage: Bacteria; Bacillati; Bacillota; Clostridia; Lachnospirales; Lachnospiraceae
Description: partial 23S ribosomal RNA
Rfam family: Bacterial large subunit ribosomal RNA
Source: RNAcentral